AAAAACACCCCACAGAGAAACCUCAUCAGGGCCUGUCAGGGGUCAACUGUACAGACGCAAGUCUCAAUCUAGAGGACUGCAUCCAGAACAAUGUGGUGUCUGCACCUCGGGAUGAGAGCCCUCAUAUCAGCUACGUGAUUGGU
Sinocyclocheilus anshuiensis is the source of this 143-nucleotide long non-coding RNA. RefSeq lists it as uncharacterized. The record is from RefSeq and is a predicted model, not a curated record. NCBI's taxonomy places the organism in Eukaryota, Metazoa, Chordata, Actinopteri, Cypriniformes, Cyprinidae. The transcript is spliced from 3 exons.